Molecule: ribosomal RNA, 439 nt
Filed under: uncultured bacterium
Lineage: Bacteria
Description: partial 16S ribosomal RNA
Rfam family: Bacterial small subunit ribosomal RNA
Source: RNAcentral
CUACGGGCCGCUCCAGUGAGGAAUAUUGCACAAUGGGGAGAACCCUGGUGCAGCAACGCCGCGUGGAGGAUGACGCAUUUCGGUGUGUAAACUCCUUUUAUAUGUCAAGAAAAUGACGGUAGCAUAUGAAUAAGCACCGGCUAACUCCGUGCCAGCAGCCGCGGUAAUACGGAGGGUGCAAGCGUUACUCGGAAUCACUGGGCGUAAAGGACGCGUAGGCGGGUUGGAAAGUCAGGUGUGAAAUCCUACAGCUUAACUGUAGAACUGCACUUGAAACUUCUAAUCUAGAGUAUGGGAGGGGGAGAUGGAAUUAGUGGUGUAGGGGUAAAAUCCGUAGAUAUCACUAGGAAUACCUAAAGCGAAGGCGAUCUCCUGGAACAUUACUGACGCUAAGGCGUGAAAGCGUGGGGAGCAAACAGGAUUAGAUACCCGGGUAGUC